UACGUAGGGUGCAAGCGUUAAUCGGAAUUACUGGGCGUAAAGCGUGCGCAGGCGGUGAUGUAAGACAGAUGUGAAAUCCCCGGGCUCAACCUGGGAACUGCAUUUGUGACUGCAUCGCUGGAGUACGGCAGAGGGGGAUGGAAUUCCGCGUGUAGCAGUGAAAUGCGUAGAUAUGCGGAGGAACACCUGAGGUGAAGACGGGUUGCUGGGCCGACACUGACGCUGAGUGCGCGAAAGCCAGGGGAGCAAACGGG
This 254-nucleotide ribosomal RNA is filed under the name uncultured bacterium. RNAcentral's name for it is "partial 16S ribosomal RNA". It matches the Rfam family "Bacterial small subunit ribosomal RNA", at positions 524 to 776 of the family's 1533-position model. The record is from RNAcentral.